ACUUAGGUUGGUUCCCUAUCUUUGCAAUUGUGAAUUGUGCUGUAAUAAACAUGUGUGCAUGUGCUGUUUUGACAUAAUGACUUCUUUUGCCUUUGGGUAGAUACUCAGUAACUGCCAAACCUUUUGCAGUAGUCCCUUGUUAUCUUUCACUUUCAGUUACCCAAGGUCCGUGCUUUCAGUUACCCAAGGUCAACCAUCCCAGGAGUGAUUACGUUCUUACCAUCUCAUCUCACUAACUCUUCUAAGAUCACCCAGGGAAAGCCAGUGUGACAGUGGAAAGAAGGUACACUUGGGAUCAGGCAAAUCCGUGUGUUAGGAUCAGCCUUUCAAGGCUCAGUUCGACCACCUUUAUUUCCUCACCUGUGAAAUGGGCGAUUGAGCCCAGCCAUCCUGAACCAGGUGAGUUAGCUGGCAUUGGAUAGUACUGGCUUAGUGCAGCCCCUGCCUCAGUGGACCUGAAGGGGAUCUGGGCCAGCAGUACCAGCAUCACUGGAACUUGUUAGAAAUGCCGAUCUCACCCCAGCCCACUCCCACCCCUGAACGACUGACUCCAAAACUGAGAUGGGGCAGCACUUUGUGUUUUUACAAGCCCUCCUGGUGAUCCCUGGGUCAAGUUUGCAAAUCACUGAGGUACCUAUUUGACCACGCCAUCUAGUGGCAGACAGACCUAACAGAUCCUGCGUUCUAGAAAAUGGUUUGUUUCCAGUGCUGGAAUAUUCAGCUUGGAGGACUCCGAAAGACGCUCCCCUCAAGAAGCCUCUAAAUGCAUGAAGGCACAGACUCUGUCAUUCUUUCCACCCAGUGUAUUCCCAGCACCUAAGCACCGUGAGGAAUGAAGGGCAGAUAUUUAAUAAAUAUUUAUUGAAUGAAUGAAUGAGGACAAAUGAAUUAACUUGAAAAAAGGGGCACAUGUCCUAACUCCUAG
RNAcentral lists this long non-coding RNA (925 nucleotides) under Homo sapiens (human). Its description in RNAcentral is "HSALNT0223377". Lineage: Eukaryota; Metazoa; Chordata; Mammalia; Primates; Hominidae. The record is from RNAcentral.